CAUUCGCCCGGGAACAACGAGCCUCAGCUUAAAACCCAAAGGACUUGGCGGUGCUUUAGACCCCUCUAGAGGAGCCUGUUCUGUAAUCGAUACUCCCCGUUCAACCUCACCCCCUCUUGUCACCCCCGCCUAUAUACCGCCGUCGUCAGCUUACCCUGUGAAGGGCAAGCAGUAAGCAAAAUUGGCAGAGCCCAAAACGUCAGGUCAAGGUGUAGCUUAUGAGGGGGGAAGAAAUGGGCUACAUUUGCUGACACAGCAAAUACGGACAUUGCCCUGAAACGAGCAUUCGAAGGAGGAUUUAGUAGUAAGAAGGAAAUAGAGCGCCCUUCUGAAAAAGGCCCUGAAGCACGCACACACC
Molecule: ribosomal RNA, 358 nt
Filed under: Clinus agilis (agile klipfish)
Lineage: Eukaryota; Metazoa; Chordata; Actinopteri; Blenniiformes; Clinidae
Description: partial 12S ribosomal RNA
Rfam family: Bacterial small subunit ribosomal RNA
Source: RNAcentral